GAUGAAGAACGCAGCGAAAUGCGAUACGUAAUGUGAAUUGCAGAAUUCAGUGAAUCAUCGAAUCUUUGAACGCAUAUUGCGCUCUCUGGUAUUCCGGAGAGCAUGCUUGUUUGAGUAUCAGUAAACACCUCAACUUCCAUAUCUUUUUUUGAAAUGGGAGUUGGACUUGAGUGAUCCCAACGCUUUUCCUCACCGAAAAGUGGCGGGUUACUUGAAAUGCAGGUGCAGCUGGACUUUUCUCUGAGCUAUAAGCAUAUCUAUUUAGUCUGCCUAAAAAACAGAUUAUUACCUUUGCUGCAGCUAACAUAAAGGAGAUUAGUUCUUGUGCUGACUGAUGCAGGAUUCACAAAGACAGCUUCGGCCGACUUUGUAAACUCGAUCUCAAAUCAAGUAAGACUACCUGCUGAACUUAAGCAUAUCAAUAAGCGGAGGA
This 433-nucleotide unclassified non-coding RNA is filed under the name soil metagenome. RNAcentral describes it as "partial contains 5.8S ribosomal RNA, internal transcribed spacer 2, and large subunit ribosomal RNA". The stretch from base 1 to 120 matches the Rfam family "5.8S ribosomal RNA", at positions 35 to 154 of the family's 154-position model. The record is from RNAcentral.